AAAAAUUUCUAAUAAAUUUUUGAACUUUCUUCCUUUUUGAAGCUUUUGCAUUAAGAGACACUCUAAUUGUUUUUUUUUAAACGCUAAUGGCAAUUUUGCUUUGACGAAUUCAUCAUCGAAAUCAAUCAAUUUGCCUUUCCUUUUUGUAGAUUUGACAGGUAUGGAAGAUUCACCAUUAUCAAUAUCAUGCUUUAUCUUUAUUCGAGCUUAUGCCCCAGCUUCACGAGGGUAAAGCUCGGGCUUGUUCUCUUCUUUUGCAUGAGUUGAUUUUGAAGCUUUUU
Molecule: long non-coding RNA, 281 nt
Filed under: Nicotiana benthamiana
Lineage: Eukaryota; Viridiplantae; Streptophyta; Magnoliopsida; Solanales; Solanaceae
Description: long non-coding RNA (NBEN_LNC037659)
Source: RNAcentral